RNAcentral lists this ribosomal RNA (497 nucleotides) under uncultured bacterium. RNAcentral describes it as "partial 16S ribosomal RNA". It matches the Rfam family "Bacterial small subunit ribosomal RNA", at positions 28 to 507 of the family's 1533-position model. The record is from RNAcentral.
GAUGAACGCUGGCGGCGUGCCUAAUACAUGCAAGUCGAGCGAACAGACGAGGAGCUUGCUCCUCUGACGUUAGCGGCGGACGGGUGAGUAACACGUGGAUAACCUACCUAUAAGACUGGGAUAACUUCGGGAAACCGGAGCUAAUACCGGAUAAUAUAUUGAACCGCAUGGUUCAAUAGUGAAAGACGGUUUUGCUGUCACUUAUAGAUGGAUCCGCGCCGCAUUAGCUAGUUGGUAAGGUAACGGCUUACCAAGGCGACGAUGCGUAGCCGACCUGAGAGGGUGAUCGGCCACACUGGAACUGAGACACGGUCCAGACUCCUACGGGAGGCAGCAGUAGGGAAUCUUCCGCAAUGGGCGAAAGCAUGACGGAGCAACGCCGCGUGAGUGAUGAAGGUCUUCGGAUCGUAAAACUCUGUUAUUAGGGAAGAACAAAUGUGUAAGUAACUAUGCACGUCUUGACGGUACCUAAUCAGAAAGCAACGGCUAACUACGUG